Molecule: ribosomal RNA, 1365 nt
Filed under: Platymantis sp. 31 CDS-2015
Lineage: Eukaryota; Metazoa; Chordata; Amphibia; Anura; Ceratobatrachidae
Description: partial 16S ribosomal RNA
Rfam family: Bacterial large subunit ribosomal RNA
Source: RNAcentral
CCUAAAAUCUAGCCCACCCCACCCCAUAACUUAUAUAUUAAAAUAAAACAUUUUUAUUUUCUAGUAAAGGUGAUUGAAAAAAUCGUAGACGCUUCAGACCCAGUACCGCAAGGGAACGAUGAAAUAUUAAUGAAAUAUUAAAGCCCCGCACAGCAAAGCUUAACUCUUGUACCUUUUGCAUCAUGGUUAUUCAAGUCCGAUCAGACAAAACCCAACCUUAAGCCUGCCCCCCCGAAACCGAGUGAGCUACUUUAAAAUAAUCUUAAGGAUGAACCCGUCUCUGUUGCAAAAGAGUGGGAAAAUUUUAAAGUAGAAGUGAAAAGCUUAUCGAACCCGGAGAUAGCUGGUUAUUCAAGAAAAGAAUUUUAGUUCUACCUUAAGUUUACUUAUUGAUACAAAACAACACCCAAACUUAAGAGCUAUUCAAAUAAGGAACAGCUUAUUUGACUCAGGACACAACCUCAUAUAAAGGGUAAUAUAUUAAAUACUUAUCAGGUUGGCCUAAGAGCAGCCNNAAAAGCGUCAAAGCCCACCACCACCUAAUUUCAUUAAUUCCUUAUAUUCUCAUCAACCCUCUACCCGUAUUGAACGACCCCAUAAACUAUGGAAGCCACCCUGUUUGAACUAGUAAUAAGAAUCUGAAAUUCUCCCAGAUGUAAACAUAAGCCGCCCAAUCGGACACCCCAACGGCAAUUAAAGUAAAUUGAACCUAUUGCAAUAACAUAUAAAAAAAAUUUGCAACAACAAACGUUAACCUAACACAAGAACAUCCCGGGAAAGAUUAAAAAAGAAAGAAGGAACUCGGCAAACUCAUAAACCCCGCCUGUUUACCAAAAACAUCGCCUCUUGAUAAGUUAUAAGAGGUCCAGCCUGCCCAAUGAUUAAUUAAAUGGCCGCGGUACCCUAACCGUGCAAAGGUAGCAUAAUAACUUGUCCUUUAAUUGGGGACUAGCAUGAACGGCACCACGAGGGUUGAACUGUCUCCUCUCUUUAAUCAAUGAAACUGACCUCCCCGUGAAAAGGCGGGGAUUUUUAUACAAGACGAGAAGACCCCAUGGAGCUUUAGACCUAAAGCACAUUCUACCAUCAAUUUCACCAAAAUCCAGAAUCUCUGACUCCAAGUCUUAGGUUGGGGCGACCAUGGAGUAUAACUUAACCUCCAUUUCGAACGGACAAAAUCCUAAUCUAAGAACCACAAUUCAAAGAAUCAAAAAACUGACGCCCACUGACCCAAAAAUUUGACCAUCGAACCAAGUUACCCUGGGGAUAACAGCGCUAUCCACCUCAAGAGCCCAUAUCGACAGGUGGGUUUACGACCUCGAUGUUGGAUCAGGGUAUCCAUGUGGUGCAGCCGCUACAUAAGGU